This 840-nucleotide unclassified non-coding RNA is filed under the name Hevea brasiliensis (rubber tree). The record is from RNAcentral. Lineage: Eukaryota; Viridiplantae; Streptophyta; Magnoliopsida; Malpighiales; Euphorbiaceae.
UUCUUUCUUUCUUUCCUCUUCUUCUUCUCCUAAUUCAAGAAAGAGAGAGAAUGCCGAGUACUAGCUCUAGCUUCGCAGGCUUGAUCUUCCUUUGCAAAUUGCAAUCCCUUUCAAAUUUCUUCCUUUGGCUGUCCUAUCAUGGAAGGAUCCUUACUAAUGUUCAGCGGGUGCAUCGCAGAAUGUCUUUCAAUCCCAGUUGUGCUUUGUGUGGUGAGGCUAGAGAAGAUACCAUCUACACCCUUCGGGACUGUCCCAGUGCGAAACAGGUGCGGUUGGGACUGGUUCCUCUAACGUCUCUGGUCUGUUUUUUCCUCCGAUGAUAUCCAGACAUGGAGUGAAGCUAAUUUAAGCGAAACUUUUGAGAGGGACAAUUAUGAUUGGCAUCUUGUUUUUAGUGUGGCUUUCUGGUAUAUAUGGAAAUGGCGAAAUGAAUGUAUUUUUGUGGGUUCAUAUAUUCCCUCGACUCCUAUCGUUUAUAUCAUGCAAUGAGUCUACGAUUUGUACAAGCUGCCUCUUUGUCUCGCUGUAAAGUUCCUGGCCGCUGUAGUGAUGAGAUUCAGAUAAGCUGGUCUCCGCCUCCUAUUAACUGGGUGAAACUUAAUACGGAUGGAAGUGUCGUUGCUGAUUCUAAUUUGGCAGUAGGUUUGUUAAGAGAUGCAAAUGGGUUUUGGUUGGCGGGGUUUGGCCUUAAUCUGGAUGCUUGUGACAUUUAUAGUGCAGAAUUAUGGGGGAUCUUGCAAGGGCUCCAACUUGCGUGGCAGUGUGGGUUCAGACAAUUAGUUGUCAAGGUUGAUAAUAUGGCUGCAGUUAAUGCCGGUCAUCUAGUGGAUUCCAUUCAAG